Molecule: ribosomal RNA, 253 nt
Filed under: uncultured bacterium
Lineage: Bacteria
Description: partial 16S ribosomal RNA
Rfam family: Bacterial small subunit ribosomal RNA
Source: RNAcentral
UACGGAGGGUGCAAGCGUUAUCCGGAUUCACUGGGUUUAAAGGGUGCGUAGGCGGGCAGGUAAGUCCGUGGUGAAAUCUCUGAGCUUAACUCAGAAACUGCCAUGGAUACUAUUUGUCUUGAAUAUUGUGGAGGUGAGCGGAAUAUGUCAUGUAGCGGUGAAAUGCUUAGAUAUGACAUAGAACACCAAUUGCGAAGGCAGCUAACUAAGCUUUAACUGACGCUGAGGCACGAAAGUGUGGGGAUCAAACAGG